ACCCACCCAACACAGACAGCCCUGGGCUUUCCGCUGGAGAGGAGAAGAGGUUGCUCAUACCAUGCUAUGCUUUUGAGUGGAGGACAAGGAGCCUGUGGCUGACCUGCAGGGUAACUGCAAUAAAAAAGGAAGAAGAAAGGAAGAUGUAUCACUGGGGGAUGGAACUCAGCUUCAAAGAGGUAUUCCCUGCAGGAUCUGUGGGUGGAGGGAUUCCUUUGGCAAUGCGGCUGUUCCCAGCUGGCAGCAAGAGCCAGCAAACACCUCUGGAGGGACGGGAGAUGUGCUGCCCCAGCCAACACUGAGACUGCAACCUCACCUACACAGGCCUUCAGCUGUGACGCUGUUCUGCUGGAGCUGCUGUUGGAGAUCAGCAGUAUCAAAAAAAGGACAAUGAAAUCAGAUUUAGACAAAUCUUAUUAGCUACUAUUUAAUUUGUUAGUUUAUUGUGUCUGGUACCAUACAUGUGAGCCAGAAGAGUAGAGCGUGUUUUCAAGUGAGAAGCUCAUGCAGGACUGACACAAUUGUUGAACAUGGCUUUUAAUAGAAAUACAAUUAGAAAGAAGUUUAAUGAAUACAAAUCCUUUCUUAAAUGUUGCUACAAAGUAUGCUGACUUAACUAUAGAUAAAUCAUACAUAUAUGUACUUUAUUAUAUAUAUGUAUAAAUUGGGAGAAACAAGAUACAAUCAUUCAACAAAAUUUGAAGUUUCCCUUUUUCAUGUUCUUGCCCUCAUUAGAUUCCAAAGAGAUGGAGAUUUCUUUGCCUUUAUUUUUGUGAAAGCUAAUAAAAUAUAAGUGAAUAACCCA
This 805-nucleotide long non-coding RNA is filed under the name Zonotrichia albicollis (white-throated sparrow). Its description in RNAcentral is "lncRNA (ENSZALG00000011123.1)". The record is from RNAcentral. Lineage: Eukaryota; Metazoa; Chordata; Aves; Passeriformes; Passerellidae.